CAAUAGCGUAUACUAAAGUUGUUGCGGUUAAAAAGCUCGUAGUUGAAAUUCUGGAGGGAUGUGCCGGUCGGCUGGCGAAAGUCGCUGUACAUGGUGCGGUCUCCAUGACCUUCUAGGACGAGCGUCGGCGCUUAAUUGAGCUGGCGUAGGGUUCGGCCUCACGGUCGGGUCCGUUCGUUCUAGAUCUUUUACUGUGAGAAAAUCGGAGUGUUCAAAGCAGGUAUUGCCAGAACGUGUUAGCAUGGAAUAAUGGAAUAGGACUUUGGACCUAUUUUGUUGGUUUAUAGGACCAGAGUAAUGAUUAAUAGGAACAGUUGGGGACAUUCGUACUUUGUGGUUAGAGGUAAAAUUCUUAGAUCCACGGAAGACGAACAUAUGCGAAAGCAUUUGUCAAGGAUGUUUNCAUUA
This 408-nucleotide ribosomal RNA is filed under the name uncultured eukaryote. RNAcentral describes it as "partial 18S ribosomal RNA". It matches the Rfam family "Eukaryotic small subunit ribosomal RNA", at positions 592 to 975 of the family's 1831-position model. The record is from RNAcentral.